RNAcentral lists this ribosomal RNA (585 nucleotides) under Dokdonella sp. BvORR160. Its description in RNAcentral is "bacterial SSU rRNA". It matches the Rfam family "Bacterial small subunit ribosomal RNA", at positions 102 to 683 of the family's 1533-position model. The record is from RNAcentral. Lineage: Bacteria; Pseudomonadati; Pseudomonadota; Gammaproteobacteria; Lysobacterales; Rhodanobacteraceae. RNAcentral also lists the same sequence under 1 other name.
ACGGGUGAGGAAUACAUCGGAAUCUGCCUUGUCGUGGGGGAUAACGUAGGGAAACUUACGCUAAUACCGCAUGCGACCGAAAGGUGAAAGUGGGGGACCGCAAGGCCUCACGCGAUAAGAUGAGCCGAUGUCGGAUUAGCUAGUUGGUGAGGUAAUGGCUCACCAAGGCGACGAUCCGUAGCUGGUCUGAGAGGAUGAUCAGCCACACUGGAACUGAGACACGGUCCAGACUCCUACGGGAGGCAGCAGUGGGGAAUAUUGGACAAUGGGCGCAAGCCUGAUCCAGCCAUGCCGCGUGGGUGAAGAAGGCCUUCGGGUUGUAAAGCCCUUUUGUUGGGGAAGAAAUCGUACGGGUGAAUAUCCCGUGCGGAUGACGGUACCCAAAGAAUAAGCACCGGCUAACUUCGUGCCAGCAGCCGCGGUAAUACGAAGGGUGCAAGCGUUACUCGGAAUUACUGGGCGUAAAGCGUGCGUAGGCGGUCUGUUAAGUCCGUUGUGAAAGCCCUGGGCUCAACCUGGGAAUUGCAGUGGAUACUGGCAGGCUAGAGUACGGUAGAGGAUGGUGGAAUUCCCGGUGUAGCGGUG